This 2892-nucleotide ribosomal RNA is filed under the name Stenotrophomonas maltophilia. Its description in RNAcentral is "bacterial LSU rRNA". It matches the Rfam family "Bacterial large subunit ribosomal RNA". The record is from RNAcentral. Lineage: Bacteria; Pseudomonadati; Pseudomonadota; Gammaproteobacteria; Lysobacterales; Lysobacteraceae.
GUUAUAUGGUCAAGCGAAUAAGCGCACACGGUGGAUGCCUUGGCGGUCAGAGGCGAUGAAGGACGUGGCAGCCUGCGAAAAGUAUCGGGGAGCUGGCAACAAGCUUUGAUCCGGUAAUGUCCGAAUGGGGAAACCCACCCGCUUGCGGGUAUCCUGCAGUGAAUACAUAGCUGCUGGAAGCGAACCUGGUGAAUUGAAAUAUCUAAGUAACCAGAGGAAAAGAAAUCAACCGAGAUUCCGUAAGUAGCGACGAGCGAACGCGGACUAGCCCUUAAGCUGAUUUGGUUCUAGGAAAACGCUCUGGAAAGAGUGGCCAUAGAAGGUGAUAGCCCUGUAUCUGAAAGGGCCAUUUCAGUGAAGACGAGUAGGGCGGGGCACGUGAAACCCUGUCUGAACAUGGGGGGACCAUCCUCCAAGGCUAAAUACUACUGACCGACCGAUAGUGAACCAGUACCGUGAGGGAAAGGCGAAAAGAACCCCGGAGAGGGGAGUGAAAUAGAACCUGAAACCGUGUGCGUACAAGCAGUAGGAGCUCCGCAAGGAGUGACUGCGUACCUUUUGUAUAAUGGGUCAGCGACUUACUGUUCGUGGCAAGCUUAACCGUAUAGGGGAGGCGAAGGGAAACCGAGUCUGAUAAGGGCGCAUAGUCGCGGGCAGUAGACCCGAAACCGGGUGAUCUAGUCAUGCCCAGGGUGAAGGUGCGGUAACACGCACUGGAGGCCCGAACCCACUCCCGUUGCAAAGGUAGGGGAUGAGGUGUGAUUAGGAGUGAAAAGCUAAUCGAACCCGGAGAUAGCUGGUUCUCCUCGAAAGCUAUUUAGGUAGCGCCUCAUAUGUAUCCUCUCGGGGGUAGAGCACUGUUAUGGCUAGGGGGUCAUCGCGACUUACCAAACCAUUGCAAACUCCGAAUACCGAGACGGACUGUAUGGGAGACACACGGCGGGUGCUAACGUCCGUCGUGAAAAGGGAAACAACCCAGACCCACAGCUAAGGUCCCAAAUUUUGUGCUAAGUGGAAAACCAUGUGGAAAGGCACAGACAGCCAGGAGGUUGGCUUAGAAGCAGCCACCCUUUAAAGAAAGCGUAAUAGCUCACUGGUCGAGUCGGUCUGCGGGGAAGAUUUAACGGGGCUAAGCACAGAACCGAAGCUUGGGGUGCAUACUUUGUAUGCGCGGUAGAGGAGCGUUCCGUAAGCCGUUGAAGGUGGAUUGAGAAGUCUGCUGGAGGUAUCGGAAGUGCGAAUGCUGACAUGAGUAACGAUAAUGCGGGUGAAAAACCCGCACGCCGAAAGCCCAAGGUUUCCUUGCGCAACGUUAAUCGGCGCAGGGUGAGUCGGCCCCUAAGGCGAGGACGAAAGUCGUAGUCGAUGGGAAGCAGGUUAAUAUUCCUGCACCUCGCGUAAGUGCGAUGGAGGGACGGAGAAGGUUAGGUGUACCAGGCGUUGGUUGUCCUGGGGAAAGGCGGUAGGUUUGGAUCUUUGGCAAAUCCGGGAUCCUUCAAGACCGAGCACCGAGACGAGCCUUUAAGGCGAAGUCACUGAUACCACGCUUCCAGGAAAAGCUCCUAAGCUUCAGCUUACGCAGACCGUACCGUAAACCGACACAGGUGGGUAGGAUGAGAAUUCUCAGGCGCUUGAGAGAACUCGGGUGAAGGAACUAGGCAACAUGGCACCGUAACUUCGGGAGAAGGUGCACCCUUUUUGGUGGCUCGUGCGAGCUAUAGCUGAAGAGGGUCGCAGUAACCAGGCCGCUGCGACUGUUUAUCAAAAACACAGCACUCUGCAAACACGAAAGUGGACGUAUAGGGUGUGACGCCUGCCCGGUGCUGGAAGGUUAAUUGAUGGGGUCAGCCGCAAGGCGAAGCUCUUGAUCGAAGCCCCAGUAAACGGCGGCCGUAACUAUAACGGUCCUAAGGUAGCGAAAUUCCUUGUCGGGUAAGUUCCGACCUGCACGAAUGGCGUAACGACAGCGGCGCUGUCUCCACCCGAGACUCAGUGAAAUUGAAAUCGCUGUGAAGAUGCAGCGUUCCCGUGGCAAGACGGAAAGACCCCGUGAACCUUUACUAUAGCUUUACACUGAACGUUGAGUUCGUCUGUGUAGGAUAGGUGGGAGGCUAUGAAACCAUGGCGCUAGCUGUGGUGGAGCCAUCCUUGAAAUACCACCCUGUCGUGCUUGACGUUCUAACCUAGGCCCAUUAUCUGGGUCGGGGACCGUGUAUGGUGGGUAGUUUGACUGGGGCGGUCUCCUCCUAAAGAGUAACGGAGGAGCUCGAAGGUACGCUCAGCGCGGUCGGACAUCGCGCACUGUGUGCAAAGGCAUAAGCGUGCUUGACUGCAAGAUCGACGGAUCAAGCAGGUAGGAAACUAGGACUUAGUGAUCCGGUGGUUCUGUAUGGAAGGGCCAUCGCUCAACGGAUAAAAGGUACUCCGGGGAUAACAGGCUGAUACCGCCCAAGAGUUCAUAUCGACGGCGGUGUUUGGCACCUCGAUGUCGGCUCAUCACAUCCUGGGGCUGUAGUCGGUCCCAAGGGUAUGGCUGUUCGCCAUUUAAAGUGGUACGCGAGCUGGGUUCAGAACGUCGUGAGACAGUUCGGUCCCUAUCUGCCAUGGGCGUUGGAGAUUUGAGAGGGGCUGCUCCUAGUACGAGAGGACCGGAGUGGACGAACCUCUGGUGUUCCGGUUGUCACGCCAGUGGCAUUGCCGGGUAGCUAUGUUCGGAAGCGAUAACCGCUGAAAGCAUCUAAGCGGGAAGCGCGCCUCAAGAUGAGAUCUCCCGGGGCACAAGCCCCCUGAAGGAACCAUGUAGACUACGUGGUUGAUAGGUCAGGUGUGUAAGUACAGCAAUGUAUUGAGCUAACUGAUACUAAUGAUCCGUGCGGCUUGACCAUAUAACCU